UGCCAGCCGCCGCGGUAAUACGGAGGGAUCAAGCGUUGUCCGGAUUUAUUGGGCGUAAAGGGUCCGCAGGCUGUUUGUUAAGUCAGGGGUGAAAUCCUACCGCUCAACGGUAGAACUGCCUUUGAUACUGGCAAACUUGAGUUAUUGUGAAGUAGUUAGAAUGUGUAGUGUGGCGGUGAAAUGCAUAGAUAUUACACAGAAUACCAAUUGCGAAGGCAGAUUACUAACAAUUAACUGACGCUGAGGGACGAAAGCGUGGGUAGCGAACAGGAUUAGAUA
Molecule: ribosomal RNA, 279 nt
Filed under: uncultured bacterium
Lineage: Bacteria
Description: partial 16S ribosomal RNA
Rfam family: Bacterial small subunit ribosomal RNA
Source: RNAcentral